RNAcentral lists this long non-coding RNA (679 nucleotides) under Danio rerio (zebrafish). Its description in RNAcentral is "lncRNA si:dkey-148e3.2 (ENSDARG00000096540.2)". The record is from RNAcentral. Lineage: Eukaryota; Metazoa; Chordata; Actinopteri; Cypriniformes; Danionidae.
AUUUGAAACUGUAUGCUUUGUUGAACAUCUUCACUCCUUUAAGGUUAAGGAGGAGCUUUGUAGAAAAGUUUCCCUUUUGAAUGUUGAAACCUUGCGUUUUUUUAAGCCAUUCGACCUUCAGAUAAGUUAUGGAUUGGAGGAAAAUGACUUUUAUAUAGUUCCUGUACACGUUUUCACAUGAACCACUUUAGUUCAGUGAUGGUACAUUGCUGAGGCUUUCCUGUAUGUUUAGAUUUGAAAGAUGCUAUUUCUGUGCUCAGUAAAACGUCGGAUAUUGUUUGAUGGACAGCAUUUUUUGCUUGCUUAUGAAAUUGAAAGUGUGCUUUUGUUGAACAUUACUAAUUUCAAGGAAAUCCCCCUUUUUGAGUGAUUUUUGCUGUGGUUUUAAUCCAUGUAUUUUUUUUAAACAACUGUAUGCAAAAAUUACUUUUAUAUUUUUAUAAAGCAUUUUGGUUCAGGAAUGGGGCUUUAGCUCAUGUUGUCUUGUUUAUGUUUGGCAGUGACAAGUAAAAUAUUAAACAUUUCCACUGCAUUUUUUUCAAUGUGACAAAUGUUUGUCUAAAAAAUGACAUUAAUGACAAAUUAAAGUUUUCAGGUAUGAAAUGCAUAUUCUGUGAAGUGAUUUAAUGUUGCCUGUGCUGUGAAUUUUUAAGAAAAUCAAUUCUGUUUUGUAACUUUC